GAAGAGCUGUUGUAACUGAUGAGAGAGAACAUAAUAUGAUAAAUGGUGAUGGAAGUGAUAAAUCUGGAAGAGAAAAUAUUGGUGGUGUUUUUGUUGCUGAAGAUAUUUCUAGCACUGGUAGUGAUGAAAAUGAUAGUUCGAAGAGAAAAUAUUGGUGGUGUUUUUGUUGCUGAAGAUAUUUCUAGCACUGGUAGUGAUGAAAGUGAUAGAUCUGGAAGAGAAAAUAUUGGUGGUGUUUGUUUUGUUGCUGAAGAUUGUUCUAGCACUGGUAGUUCUAUUG
Molecule: long non-coding RNA, 280 nt
Filed under: Fragaria vesca (wild strawberry)
Lineage: Eukaryota; Viridiplantae; Streptophyta; Magnoliopsida; Rosales; Rosaceae
Description: long non-coding RNA (FVES_LNC000205)
Source: RNAcentral